RNAcentral lists this ribosomal RNA (301 nucleotides) under uncultured bacterium. Its description in RNAcentral is "partial 16S ribosomal RNA". It matches the Rfam family "Bacterial small subunit ribosomal RNA", at positions 509 to 807 of the family's 1533-position model. The record is from RNAcentral.
CAGUCGCCACGGUAAUACGAAGGGUGCAAGCGUUAAUCGGAAUUACUGGGCGUAAAGCGCACGUAGGCGGCUUGGUAAGUUAGAGGUGAAAGCCUGGAGCUCAACUCCAGAAUUGCCUUUAAGACUGCCGAGCUAGCAGGUGAGAGAGGUAAGUGGAAUUCCCGGUGUAGCGGUGAAAUGCGUAGAGAUCGGGAGGAACAUCAGUGGCGAAGGCGGCCAUCUGGGACAACACUGACGCUGAGGCACGAAAGCGUGGGGAGCAAACAGGAUUAGAUACCCCGGUAGUCCCUGUCUCUUAUAC